CUAACAGCCCUUUUCAGGGCUACAAAAAAAUUUUUAAAAAGAGACC
Stomoxys calcitrans (stable fly) is the source of this 46-nucleotide non-coding RNA. NCBI's taxonomy places the organism in Eukaryota, Metazoa, Arthropoda, Insecta, Diptera, Muscidae. The record is from Rfam.